RNAcentral lists this ribosomal RNA (253 nucleotides) under uncultured bacterium. RNAcentral describes it as "partial 16S ribosomal RNA". It matches the Rfam family "Bacterial small subunit ribosomal RNA", at positions 524 to 776 of the family's 1533-position model. The record is from RNAcentral.
UACGGAGGGGGCAAGCGUUGUUCGGAAUUACUGGGCGUAAAGGGCUCGUAGGUGGUCAACUACGUCAGACGUGAAAUCCCUCGGCUUAACCGGGGAACUGCGUCUGAUACUGGAUGGCUUGAGUUUGGGAGAGGGACGCGGAAUUCCAGGUGUAGCGGUGAAAUGCGUAGAUAUCUGGAGGAACACCGGUGGCGAAGGCGGCGUCCUGGGCCAACACUGACACUGAGGAGCGAAAGCCAGGGGAGCAAACGGG